UACAGAGGUCUCAAGCGUUGUUCGGAUUCAUUGGGCGUAAAGGGUGCGUAGGCGGCGCGGUAAGUCGGGUGUGAAAUCUCGGAGCUUAACUCCGAAACUGCAUUCGAUACUGCCGUGCUUGAGGACUGGAGAGGAGACUGGAAUUUACGGUGUAGCGGUGAAAUGCGUAGAUAUCACUAGGAACGCCGGUGGCGAAAGCGCUCGACUGGACCUCUUCUGACGCUGAGGCGCGAAAGCCAGGGGAGCAAACGGG
Molecule: ribosomal RNA, 253 nt
Filed under: uncultured bacterium
Lineage: Bacteria
Description: partial 16S ribosomal RNA
Rfam family: Bacterial small subunit ribosomal RNA
Source: RNAcentral